GUCCCUAUCGUCUAGUGGAUCAGGACAUCUCUCUUUCAAGGAGGCAAUGGGGAUUUGACUUCCCCUAGGGGUA
This is a non-coding RNA of Picea glauca (white spruce), 73 nucleotides long. The record is from Rfam. NCBI's taxonomy places the organism in Eukaryota, Viridiplantae, Streptophyta, Pinopsida, Pinales, Pinaceae.